Molecule: ribosomal RNA, 490 nt
Filed under: uncultured bacterium
Lineage: Bacteria
Description: partial 16S ribosomal RNA
Rfam family: Bacterial small subunit ribosomal RNA
Source: RNAcentral
AUUGAACGCUGGCGGCAGGCCUAACACAUGCAAGUCGAACGGUAACAGGAAGCUGCUUGCUGCUUCGCUGACGAGUGGCGGACGGGUGAGUAAUGUCUGGGAAACUGCCUGAUGGAGGGGGAUAACUACUGGAAACGGUAGCUAAUACCGCAUAACGUCGCAAGACCAAAGAGGGGGACCUUAGGGCCUCUUGCCAUCGGCUGUGCCCAGAUGGGAUUAGCUAGUAGGUGGGGUAACGGCUCACCUAGGCGACGAUCCCUAGCUGGUCUGAGAGGAUGACCAGCCACACUGGAACUGAGACACGGUCCAGACUCCUACGGGAGGCAGCAGUGGGGAAUAUUGCACAAUGGGCGCAAGCCUGAUGCAGCCAUGCCGCGUGUAUGAAGAAGGCCUUCGGGUUGUAAAGUACUUUCAGCGGGGAGGAAGGGAGUAAAGUUAAUACCUUGGCUCAUUGACGUUACCCGCAGAAGAAGCACCGGCUAACUCCGUG